Oncorhynchus keta (chum salmon) is the source of this 954-nucleotide long non-coding RNA. RefSeq lists it as uncharacterized. The record is from RefSeq and is a predicted model, not a curated record. The transcript has 4 exons. Lineage: Eukaryota; Metazoa; Chordata; Actinopteri; Salmoniformes; Salmonidae.
AGGGGUCACAUACAAGUUUCUCUCACUGGGUCAUCCGUUGGGCCAGACUUGAGACUUACGAGACACAAAAGAUAUCAUGGUUUUGCGAAACUGACACCCUGUUCUGGCACUCUGUGUGGCUGUGGAUAGUGAUGUAUAGGAGGAGUAGAGAGAGGCCAAAGAGAGGUUAGAGGUAAACACAGAGCCAGAAACACUACAGAGUGGUGUUGUAUAUGAGGAGCAGGGAGAGGUUAGAGGUAAACACAGAGCCAGAAACACUACAGAGUGGUGUUGUAUAUGAGGAGCAGGGAGAGGUUAGAGGCAAACACAGAGCCAGAAACACUACAGAGUGGUGUUGUAUAUGAGGAGCAGGGAGAGGUUAGAGGUAAACACAGAGCCAGAAACACUACAGAGUGGUGUUGUAUAUGAGGAGCAGGGAGAGGUUAGAGGUAAACACAGAGCCAGAAACACUACAGAGUGGUGUUGUAUAUGAGGAGCAGGGAGAGGUUAGAGGUAAACACAGAGCCAGAAACACUACAGAGUGGUGUUGUAUAUGAGGAGCAGGGAGAGGUUAGAGGCAAACACAGAGCCAGAAACACUACAGAGUGGUGUUGUAUAUGAGGAGCAGGGGAGAGGUUAGAGGCAAACACAGAGCCAGAAACACUACAGAGUGGUGUUGUAUAUGAGGAGCAGGGAGAGGUUAGAGGUAAACACAGAGCCAGAAACACUACAGAGUGGUGUUGUAUAUGAGGAGCAGGGAGAGGUUAGAGGUAAACACAGAGCCAGAAACACUACAGAGUGGUGUUGUAUAUGAGGAGCAGGGAGAGGUUAGAGGUAAACACAGAGCCAGAAACACUACAGAGUGGUGUUGUAUAUGAGGAGCAGGGAGAGGUUAGAGGUAAACACAGAGCCAGAAACACUACAGAGUGGUGUUGUAUAUGAGGAGCAGGGAGAGGUUAGAGGCAAACACAGAGC